Long non-coding RNA from Hemicordylus capensis (graceful crag lizard), 798 nucleotides. RefSeq lists it as uncharacterized. NCBI's taxonomy places the organism in Eukaryota, Metazoa, Chordata, Lepidosauria, Squamata, Cordylidae. The record is from RefSeq and is a predicted model, not a curated record. The transcript has 3 exons.
CUGUUCCUUCAGCAUGUAAGGCAGCACGGUUCUGAAUAGGGAGCCAGGCAGCAGAAGUUAAUCCCUUCAGACAAUUCUGCAUCUUCAAUGCCUCGAAUAUUUCUACUUGGGUACUUCAUCAUCAUCUCCAAAAACUCAGUAUGUCCAAGAACAAAUCUUUCCUCGCAAGCGUUUCCUCUCCUUAUCUGACAACUUUACAAUCUACUCUGUUGAACACGCAGCAGUACUCAAUGACAACCCUUCCCUUAUAAGUGUGAAAUUCCUGGUACAGAAGAUGGUGGGAUACUUAUAAGAUCUGACUUGUUACAUCUUUAUACAAUAACAGAAAAGGUGUUUUAGUGGCUCGUAAGAUCCCUCCGGCUGUGUCAAAAGAUAUGUGGCAUCUUCUGAACAGACAGGCCCUACUCCAAAGAACAGAAGCAGAAGGCAUAAUGAGCAAAUAAAAGUAAAUCAAGAUGAACUGAAGAUCAAAGUGGAUGAUUAUACUGUACUGCAAAAGCUCCCAAGGUCAUCAAGAAAAGACCUGCAAUUUUGGACAGUUUCCCAGUGCACAGAGACAAGGAAAAUGUCUGUUUCAUGGGUAUCUGUCCUUCUUUUCAUUUUGAUCAACAAAUGAUUACAGGCAUAUCAUGAAGUGAGUUGGAUUAAACCCUUUGGAUUAACCUCAGACACAGAUUGACACAUUGGAUAAUUUCUGCUGUGGGUGCCAUGGCAUUGUUCAUACCUGUAAAUCACAGUCAAGCAUAAAGGCAACCUUUCUAUUUCUUACUUUGAAAAUAUGAUCAUCUGUGAAGUUGU